AUCUAUUUCGAGCAAUAGAUAUGUAUAGCUGUCCCGCUGCGCUAAAAAUCAAGGACACGAUAAACGAGGUGCCGUAGACCGGACAACCGUGAUAAUUGUGAUUGCUGCCUGUGUGCUUGUGUUCCUCGCUUUAUACGCCGUUAGUUGCGUCUUCUGGAGAUUCAGGACGCCACAGGACAAGUUGAGGGAGUGCCUUCUCAUGCUAAUCCAAAACAAAUAGACAUUGAGGACCCUGAUCCUAAACAUUGUGCGAGCUCAAGAUCACGCAGUCCUGAAAUAAUUAGAAACUUUGUGGCCUCCAAAAGAAACGAAAAAAUUACAAAUAAAACAAAAGACACCAUUUCAGGGGAAAAGCUUUCAAAAGGAACAGAAUCUAAAGAAAUUGCCAGGGAGUCAUUGGAAUUAUCAGAUAUAAAGACAACAACGGCUCGAUAUUCGACAAGAAAACGUUAUACUCUGGACGAGUUAUAUCGACCUAAUCGUUGCUUUGAUCGAGGAUUUUGGCAAGAAGUGGAGUUGGAAACCUAAUUUAAAUUAUUUAACAUGCCAAUUAAUUGUUCAUGUUGCAUGUUAAUUACCGCUUGCUGCAUGCUUAAGACUCCUUCUACUAAUCCUCAUUUGCAAAACUCAAGAAGAUAAAAGCCGUAUUAACCCCACCCUGGUAUUACACUGAUAUAACCCUUUGAGAUUGCAUGUGAGAGAGAACAGAACUUCCGGGGUCACCUGAAAGUAUUUGAACCAGUGAUUUGAUAGCAGCUCGGAAAGGCCUACGAGUUCCUUUUUUCUUUUUACAUUUUAAGAUAGCACUCUCAGCAUGGUAACCUGGUGUAUCAACGUAGCGAUUAUGCUUUAAAAGAAAAAGUUUUUCUUUUUCUUACAUCAGUAAAAUUAAAUUCAACUUUUUCGCGGUAGAAUAACAAAUUAACUUGAAAAAGGAGCGGCAUUGGUACCCUCUGUGCCGGAAAUUGAGUCAAAACAACACGUCGGGUGAAUAAAAUUAACGUGUUUACAAAUGAGUUGAGCAAAACUGUGACUGAUAACAAGUAGAAGAGAUUUUACAUAUGAAAGAACCUCAAUAUCCAGGAGAUAUGAAACCGGCCAACCAAUUCCUCUCAAUGGCGAG
Stylophora pistillata is the source of this 1123-nucleotide long non-coding RNA. The record is from RefSeq and is a predicted model, not a curated record. Lineage: Eukaryota; Metazoa; Cnidaria; Anthozoa; Scleractinia; Pocilloporidae.